GAUGAACGCUGGCGGCGUGCCUAAUACAUGCAAGUCGAGCGAACAGACGAGGAGCUUGCUCCUCUGACGUUAGCGGCGGACGGGUGAGUAACACGUGGAUAACCUACCUAUAAGACUGGGAUAACUUCGGGAAACCGGAGCUAAUACCGGAUAAUAUAUUGAACCGCAUGGUUCAAUAGUGAAAGGCGGUUUUGCUGUCACUUAUAGAUGGAUCCGCGCCGCAUUAGCUAGUUGGUAAGGUAACGGCUUACCAAGGCAACGAUGCGUAGCCGGCCUGAGAGGGUGAUCGGCCACACUGGAACUGAGACACGGUCCAGACUCCUACGGGAGGCAGCAGUAGGGAAUCUUCCGCAAUGAGCGAAAGCCUGACGGAGCAACGCCGCGUGAGUGAUGAAGGUCUUCGGAUCGUAAAACUCUGUUAUUAGGGAAGAACAAAUGUGUAAGUAACUAUGCACGUCUUGACGGUACCUAAUCAGAAAGCCACGGCUAACUACGUG
This 497-nucleotide ribosomal RNA is filed under the name uncultured bacterium. RNAcentral's name for it is "partial 16S ribosomal RNA". It matches the Rfam family "Bacterial small subunit ribosomal RNA", at positions 28 to 507 of the family's 1533-position model. The record is from RNAcentral.